RNAcentral lists this long non-coding RNA (560 nucleotides) under Gossypium raimondii (Peruvian cotton). RNAcentral describes it as "long non-coding RNA (GRAI_LNC001583)". Lineage: Eukaryota; Viridiplantae; Streptophyta; Magnoliopsida; Malvales; Malvaceae. The record is from RNAcentral.
UUGAUUGUGGAAGGGGACUCCCUGACAGUCAUUAAAAAACUGAUUAAAAAUGAGGAAGAUAGAUCGAUUAUUAGGUCGAUUGUUCAUAGUAUUCAUAGAUUGCGCCAGGGCUUUGAUGAAGUCUCUUACAAGUUUGUGAACCGUCCGCUUAACGCUGCAGCCCAUAUUUUGGCAGUGGAAGGUCAGCAUCGGAAAGUGUGUGGGGCCUGGGUUAAUGGAAUACCGGAGACUGUGCGACUGGUGGUGGAGGAAGACUGGUUACGAUGGUGCCAAUGGACCUAAAUUCCAUAUGUUCGCUUUGAGUUAGAGAAGGUUCAUUGAAUCUCUAAUAUUGUUUGCAAAGCAUUGCUGGCUCUCGGUCUCUGAUCGAUAAUACCGAAGGAAAUGAAGCCCUGCUGUGGCUGAUAAUGGAGAUUGAAAAGUUUUGUUGCAGGCUCACGCGUUUUCUGCUUAUUGAUGUUUCGUUACUUUCUAGGCGUAGUUUUUAAUUUUCUUUUUAUUGGACAGCUGUGAUUUUCUUUUUUGUCUAUUUUGGUGGCCUUUUAGCUACUCCUUUUGAG